GGAGAGAAGCUCAUCAGUGGGGCCGUGAGCUGAGUGUGUCACGUCACUCUAACACUUGUCCCCUGGGAAGGUCUGAGACUAGGCCCUGAUAGGGCCCUCCCGCAGCUCGGGGAAGUGAGUUCCCAGAGAACGGGCCUCCAGCCUCUCGCAAGGGCAGCCUGUGUCCCCUGGGACCCAGCCAUUGAUUUCCGGUUCACACACACAGGCCGUGAGGGAGGGGCUGAGUCUCACAAUGGAGACGUUACUGGUGCCCGCUCGAGCACAUCGAUGAGCAACAGGAUGACAGUGACAGUGACAGCUUCCACUCUAAAAGAGAAAUGCAGCUCGGGAAUGAUCACUCAAGCUUGACUUC
This 352-nucleotide RNase P RNA is filed under the name Sorex araneus (European shrew). Its description in RNAcentral is "Nuclear RNase P (ENSSARG00000019801.1)". It matches the Rfam family "Nuclear RNase P". Rfam says of the family: Ribonuclease P (RNase P) is a ubiquitous endoribonuclease, found in archaea, bacteria and eukarya as well as chloroplasts and mitochondria. Its best characterised activity is the generation of mature 5'-ends of tRNAs by cleaving the 5'-leader elements of precursor-tRNAs. Cellular RNase Ps are ribonucleoproteins. The record is from RNAcentral. Lineage: Eukaryota; Metazoa; Chordata; Mammalia; Eulipotyphla; Soricidae.